RNAcentral lists this ribosomal RNA (465 nucleotides) under Vreelandella stevensii. RNAcentral describes it as "partial 16S ribosomal RNA". It matches the Rfam family "Bacterial small subunit ribosomal RNA", at positions 338 to 795 of the family's 1533-position model. The record is from RNAcentral. Lineage: Bacteria; Pseudomonadati; Pseudomonadota; Gammaproteobacteria; Oceanospirillales; Halomonadaceae.
CCUACGGGCGGCUGUAGUGGGGAAUAUUGGACAAUGGGCGAAAGCCUGAUCCAGCCAUGCCGCGUGUGUGAAGAAGGCCUUCGGGUUGUAAAGCACUUUCAGUGGGGAAGAAAGCCUUGGGGCUAAUACCCUCGAGGAAGGACAUCACCCACAGAAGAAGCACCGGCUAACUCCGUGCCAGCAGCCGCGGUAAUACGGAGGGUGCGAGCGUUAAUCGGAAUUACUGGGCGUAAAGCGCGCGUAGGCGGUCUGAUAAGCCGGUUGUGAAAGCCCCGGGCUCAACCUGGGAACGGCAUCCGGAACUGUCAGGCUAGAGUGCAGGAGAGGAAGGUAGAAUUCCCGGUGUAGCGGUGAAAUGCGUAGAGAUCGGGAGGAAUACCAGUGGCGAAGGCGGCCUUCUGGACUGACACUGACGCUGAGGUGCGAAAGCGUGGGUAGCAAACAGGAUUAGAUACCCCAGUAGUC